UACGGGGGGGGCAAGCGUUGUUCGGAAUUACUGGGCGUAAAGGGCUCGUAGGCGGCCAAUUAAGUCAGACGUGAAAUCCCCAGGCUUAACCUGGGAACUGCGUCUGAUACUGGAUGGCUUGAAUUCGGGAGAGGGAUGCAGAAUUCCAGGUGUAGCGGUGAAAUGCGUAGAUAUCUGGAGGAAUACCGGUGGCGAAGGCGGCAGCCUGGACCGACAUUGACGCUGAGGAGCGAAAGCUAGGGGAGCAAACGGG
RNAcentral lists this ribosomal RNA (253 nucleotides) under uncultured bacterium. RNAcentral describes it as "partial 16S ribosomal RNA". It matches the Rfam family "Bacterial small subunit ribosomal RNA", at positions 524 to 776 of the family's 1533-position model. The record is from RNAcentral.